RNAcentral lists this ribosomal RNA (473 nucleotides) under uncultured bacterium. RNAcentral's name for it is "bacterial SSU rRNA". It matches the Rfam family "Bacterial small subunit ribosomal RNA", at positions 355 to 825 of the family's 1533-position model. The record is from RNAcentral.
UAGGGAAUAUUGCGCAAUGGGGGAAACCCUGACGCAGCGACGCCGCGUGGGUGAUGAAGGCUUUCGGGUCGUAAAGCCCUGUCGAGUGGGACGAAAGACGAUAUGGCUAAUAUCCAUGUCGAGUGACGGUACCACUAAAGGAAGCACCGGCUAACUACGUGCCAGCAGCCGCGGUAAUACGUAGGGUGCAAGCGUUGCUCGGAAUCAUUGGGCGUAAAGAGCGUGUAGGUGGCUAGAUAAGUCAGAUGUGAAAUCCCUCGGCUCAACCGAGGAAGUGCAUUUGAAACUAUCUAGCUCGAGGAUGGCAGAGGAAGGUGGAAUUCCUAGUGUAGAGGUGAAAUUCGUAGAUAUUGGGAAGAACACCAGUGGCGAAGGCGGCUAACUGGUCCGGUACUGACGCUGAGGUGCGAAAGCGUGGGGAGCAAACAGGAUUAGAUACCCCCGUAGUCCCUGAGCGGGCUGGCAAGGCGCAU